RNAcentral lists this unclassified non-coding RNA (343 nucleotides) under soil metagenome. RNAcentral describes it as "partial contains 5.8S ribosomal RNA, internal transcribed spacer 2, and large subunit ribosomal RNA". The stretch from base 1 to 120 matches the Rfam family "5.8S ribosomal RNA", at positions 35 to 154 of the family's 154-position model. The record is from RNAcentral.
GAUGAAGAACGCAGCGAAAUGCGAUAAGUAAUGUGAAUUGCAGAAUUCAGUGAAUCAUCGAAUCUUUGAACGCACAUUGCGCCCGCCAGCAUUCUGGCGGGCAUGCCUGUUCGAGCGUCAUUUCAACCCUCGAGCCCCCCCGGGGGCCUCGGUGUUGGGGGACGGCACACCAGCCGCCCCCGAAAUGCAGUGGCGACCCCGCCGCAGCCUCCCCUGCGUAGUAGCACACACCUCGCACCGGAGCGCGGAGGCGGUCACGCCGUAAAACGCCCAACUUUCUUAGAGUUGACCUCGGAUCAGGUAGGAAUACCCGCUGAACUUAAGCUUAUCAAUAAGCGGAGGA